UUUAAGUGCAACCAUAAGUUUCCACGUCCAACUUUUUAUCGUCCGUCUUAUUUGAAAAAUUUUUAUAAUUAAUAUUUUUGUUGUUAUGAGAUGAUAAAACAUAAAUAAUACUUUACUCGUGACUUAUAUUUUUAAUUUUUUUAUUUUUUUAAAUAAGACGAACGGUUAAAGUUGAACGCGGAAAACCAUGACUGCACUUAAA
Oryza sativa Japonica Group (Japanese rice) is the source of this 202-nucleotide microRNA precursor. It matches the Rfam family "MIR812 microRNA precursor family". NCBI's taxonomy places the organism in Eukaryota, Viridiplantae, Streptophyta, Magnoliopsida, Poales, Poaceae. The record is from Rfam.